UUUGUUAUUUAUAAAUCAAAUGCAUGGUACUUAUCUUCAUCCCUGUGCAGUCCUAUGAUUGAUACGGAACCUAACCUUUCUAUUUCAUCUCAACAAUAGUGGAUUAUUUCAGAUACGAUGUCCCUAACUAUCUAAGAUUGCACUAAAUUUGGAAACCAUUUUUCAGUGCCUGUAAGCAAGUUUGAAUCAGAAGAUGAACUGAUAGUUGUUGGAGAUGGUCAUUCAGGAACCAUAUAUGUUCAUGCAGCUGAAAAUACCUACGGGAUCAAUCUCUUUCAGUUAGGAAUCGACAGAUCCAAGGUAAAGAAAACCCUACUUUUUGUAGCACUACUGAUUCUCUUUUUGAUUAACUCCUCUCUCUUUCUAUACAUGCUUGGAUCUUAGAAUCUGUUCUCUUUUAGAUUUGUAUAUAUGCUUGGAUCCUCACAGCUCUUGUAUAUGUUGUUUUGUUAUUUAUUUAAUGGAA
Zea mays is the source of this 466-nucleotide long non-coding RNA. RefSeq lists it as uncharacterized. The record is from RefSeq and is a predicted model, not a curated record. NCBI's taxonomy places the organism in Eukaryota, Viridiplantae, Streptophyta, Magnoliopsida, Poales, Poaceae. The transcript is spliced from 3 exons.